UUCGCAAUGCCCGAAAGGGUGACGAAGCGACGCCGCGUGGGUGAGGAAGGCCUUCGGGUUGUAAAGCCCUGUCAGGAGUUAAGAAAUGUAAGUGCGCUAAUAUCGCAUUUAUUUGACGAAGGCUCCAAAGGAAGUCACGGCUAACUCUGUGCCAGCAGCCGCGGUAAUACAGAGGUGGCAAGCGUUGUUCGGAAUUAUUGGGCGUAAAGAGCACGUAGGUGGGUUUGUAAGUCAGAUGUGAAAGCCUUUUGUUCAACGGAAGAAUUGCAUCUGAAACUGCGAGUCUUGAGUGUAGGAGGGGAGAAUGGAACUUCUGGUGGAGCGGUGAAAUGCGUAGAUAUCAGAAGGAACGCCGGCGGCGAAAGCGAUUCUCUGGCCUAUUACUGACACUCAGUGUGCGAAAGCUAGGGGAGCAAACGGGAUUAGAUACCCCGGUAGUCCUAGCCGUAAACGAUGGGCACUAAGUAGAGGGGUUUU
Molecule: ribosomal RNA, 477 nt
Filed under: Candidatus Scalindua brodae
Lineage: Bacteria; Pseudomonadati; Planctomycetota; Candidatus Brocadiia; Candidatus Brocadiales; Candidatus Scalinduaceae
Description: bacterial SSU rRNA
Rfam family: Bacterial small subunit ribosomal RNA
Source: RNAcentral